AGGUAGCCUAGUGGUUAGAGGAGGCAGGUAGCCUAGUGGUUAGAGGAGGCAGGUAGCCUAGUGGUUUGAGGAGGCAGGUAGCCUAGUGGUUAGAGGAGGCAGGUAGCCUAGUGGUUAGAGGAGGCAGGUAGCCUAGUGGUUAGAGGAGGCAGGUGGCCUAGUGGUUAGAGGAGGCAGGUGGCCUAGUGGUUAGAGGAGGCAGGUAGCCUAGUGGUUAGAGGAGGCAGGUAGCCUAGUGGUUAGAGGAGGCAGGUAGCCUAGUGGUUAGAGGCAGGUAGCCUAGUGGUUAGAGGAGGCAGGUAGCCUAGUGGUUAGAGGAGGCAGGUAGCCUAGUGGUUAGAGGAGGCAGGUAGCCUAGUGGUUAGAGGAGGCAGGUAGCCUAGUGGUUAGAGGAGGCAGGUAGCCUAGUGGUUAGAGGAGGCAGGUAGCCUAGUGGUUAGAGGCAGGUAGCCUAGUGGUUAGAGGAGGCAGGUAGCCUAGUGGUUAGAGGAGGCAGGUAGCCUAGUGGUUAGAGGAGGCAGGUAGCCUAGUGGUUAGAGGAGGCAGGUAGCCUAGUGGUUAGAGGAGGCAGGUAGCCUAGUGGUUAGAGGAGGCAGGUAGCCUAGUGGUUAGAGGAGGCAGGUAGCCUAGUGGUUAGAGGAGGCAGGUAGCCUAGUGGUUAGAGGAGGCAGGUAGCCUAGUGGUUUGA
Molecule: long non-coding RNA, 688 nt
Organism: Oncorhynchus keta (chum salmon)
Lineage: Eukaryota; Metazoa; Chordata; Actinopteri; Salmoniformes; Salmonidae
Exons: 4
Source: RefSeq, a predicted model, not a curated record